RNAcentral lists this ribosomal RNA (460 nucleotides) under Liomera venosa. RNAcentral's name for it is "partial 16S ribosomal RNA". It matches the Rfam family "Bacterial large subunit ribosomal RNA", at positions 1951 to 2611 of the family's 2925-position model. Lineage: Eukaryota; Metazoa; Arthropoda; Malacostraca; Decapoda; Xanthidae. The record is from RNAcentral.
CAAAGGUAGCAUAAUCAUUAGGAGUUUAAUUGGAACCUAGAAUGAAGGGUUGGACAAAGAAGAAACUGUCUUUAUAUUAUAGAUUGAAGUUUACUUUUGAGUGAAAAGGCUUAAAUGAAUCAAAGGGACGAUAAGACCCUAUAAAGCUUUAUAAGUAAUUUAAAUUUAGUUGAUUUAGGAAAAUAAAAAUUGAUUUUAACUGUCUUAUUUUAUUGGGGUGAUAUGAGUAUAAAUAUUGUUAACUGCUUAUAAGUUAUACUGUUAUAAUAGAAUUAUAAAUUAAUGAUCCUUUUUAAAGAUUAAAAGAUUAAGUUACUUUAGGGAUAACAGCGUUAUUUCUUUUGAGAGUUCAUAUCGAAAAAGAAGAUUGCGACCUCGAUGUUGAAUUAAAAUAUCUAUAUAAUGCAGCCGUUAUAAAAGAGGGUCUGUUCGACCUUUAAAUUUUUACAUGAUUUGAGUU